Molecule: non-coding RNA, 495 nt
Organism: Lolium perenne
Lineage: Eukaryota; Viridiplantae; Streptophyta; Magnoliopsida; Poales; Poaceae
Source: RefSeq, a predicted model, not a curated record
CUUCAAGCCCGGGCACGAAGCGACGCACACGCACGAACGACUGCUGCGUUUUUCAGUUUCUGUGUUUACUCUUCAAUUGAUUACCGGCGUUUUAAGGCACCAUUCGACGCACCGUUUCUUCCUACUUAAGCUCCAUUCCCUCCUCUUCAUUUCCCCCCAAACGGCACGCCUAGAGAGCCCCCAGGCUGCUCGAAUUUUGCCUCGCAUGUCCGCAGUACCGUCGCGGUAAAUCGUCGAUUGCGCGACGACGCUAUAAUCGACUCUAGUCUCCGGCGAGCGACUUCCGGCGAACUACUGCAGAUCGACGUCCGCGACUUCGUAAACGAGUUUCCCUUGUCAAUCCGAGCUCCAUCGUCUGCCCCACCAUCGCCAAGGAGCACCGGAACGUCAAGGCCGGCGACAUCAGACGACAUUGCUGUGUGCGUCCCAUUGCGACUGUGACAGCUGCAACCUUUGUGACUGCGAAGAUUGCAACUCCUCCCACUGAAAAAGGCA